UCAAAUCUCGCGGGAUUUGCCUGGCACUAUAUAAACUCCCUGCAGGCACGCAGACGGCCUUUUCCGUCUCUUAGAGGCUUUGAAAGGGGGCACUGACAUGACUGUGUAAUGAAAACUCAAGCACCUGGCAAAAUAAAUAAAUAAAAGAAGAGAGAGAGAGACCCAACAUUUAAAGCAUGGAGGAGUUUUCACAACACAAGAUGUAAUGAAUGCUUUGUACUUAACUUGUACCUGAUGUUACUCCAGUUAGCUCUUCUUCCAUUCCUCACUAUUGUGCAUUUCAUGUAACUUGGCAGGUGGGCUGCCACUGCACACUUGUGUGUGUGUGUGUGUGUGUGUGUGUGUGUGUGUGUGUGUGUGUGUGUGUGUGUGUGUGUGUGUGAGACAUGACCCAGGGCAACCAUGCAUCGUCAGUCUAGCUGAAUAUUUAAACAAUGGGAAGUUAUUCUUCCUCUUCCCCAGCUUUGAUAUUUCUCAAAAGUUUGUGUUUAUAUCAAUGAGCCAGUACCUUUUGGGCAGAAAAUAGGCACAUACAUUAGGAUGGUUAUUUUCCUCUAUAGAGGCAAGAACUCAACAUUUAUAAUUUAAUAAUAUUCCAAAACUGGGGUUUUCAAGCUGCUAAUAGCUAUGAGGUUGUUUCUGCUUGGAUAAAUAAGUAAGAGGUAGAAUAGGCUUCAAUCAAUAGGACCGGGCUGUGGCACAGCUAGUUAGUAGCCAGCUGCAUUAAAUCACUACUGACCGAGAGGUCAUGGGUUUGAAGCCAGCCUGGGUUGGAGUGAGGUUCCAACCAUAAAUAGUCUAGCUUGCUGUUGACCUAUGCAGCCUGAAAGAUAGUUGCAUCUGUCAAGUAGGAAUUUUAGGUACUGCUUUAUGCGGGGAGGCUAAUUUAACUAAUUUACGACACCAUAAAACCUUCCAGCAGUGUGAGUAAGAAUGAGGAAGUACUCAAUCACUGACAGAGUGUCACAAGUAGACAGUGAAGCAGCAGCUCCCCUGUAGCUGGAAUUGAGCAUACCCUCAUGAAGCCGGAAAGCUGGAUGUUAAAUUGCCUCUGUGUUUGUCUAUAUAUGUUGUAUGUCUAUGGCAUUAAAUGUUUGCCAUGUAUAUGUGCAUUGUAAUGCGCCCUGAGUCCCCUGUGGGGUGAGAAGGGUGGAAUAUACUGUAAAUAAAUAAAUCAAUUUUGGCUGCAAUUAUAGUGAACCUUUGUAAGAGAUUCAUUUGAGCCUUUGACUAAAAUAAUAUGCUGUCACUGAAAUCUGUUUCAGGGACUGAUCUGAAGCUGGCCACUUAUAGUAAAGUGCAGUGGGGUUAUAAGAUUGUCCUUGUUCAGAUGCAAAACUCUGAAGGAGAAGUUGGUAGUAUUCUUGGAGCCAUGCUGCUUGAGAUGGGGAGCAGCUUUACAGAAGCCCAAGAUCUGCCUUAGAGCCAUGCCUAUGAUAAUAGUAGUGGAUAGUUGGGAUCAAGCGAGGUCAGUGUGUAACUCUUGGCACUGUUCACAUACUCUUCUGAAGAUUAAAUAUCCUCAGCUCACAGAACACAAGUUUAGGAAACCUAGCUACAAUAUGUUUCCAUGGAAACUACUUUUUAGAUUUCCUUGGAAUUUUGAGCCACAAAGUAAUUUAUCCAAAAUAACUUCCAUCAAAAGCUCUUAGUAAGCACAAAGACUUAUGAUCAUGGGCUUUGUAUGAGAUGUAAACAUUAUUUGAACUUGAUGGAUCAACUGUUGUUUUGUACAAGAUGGGAAGGUGGUAUUGGAGUAUAAUCAGAGGAUGAUACCGAGGCUUUGUUUCAUUAUGUUAGCAUUGAUUUCCAUUUGUAAAAUAAAUGAUUAAAAAAGCAA
Anolis sagrei ordinatus is the source of this 1840-nucleotide long non-coding RNA. RefSeq lists it as uncharacterized. The record is from RefSeq and is a predicted model, not a curated record. NCBI's taxonomy places the organism in Eukaryota, Metazoa, Chordata, Lepidosauria, Squamata, Anolidae.